RNAcentral lists this ribosomal RNA (500 nucleotides) under uncultured bacterium. Its description in RNAcentral is "partial 16S ribosomal RNA". It matches the Rfam family "Bacterial small subunit ribosomal RNA", at positions 30 to 523 of the family's 1533-position model. The record is from RNAcentral.
AUUGAACGCUGGCGGCAUGCCUUACACAUGCAAGUCGAACGGCAGCACGGGAGCAAUCCUGGUGGCGAGUGGCGAACGGGUGAGUAAUAUAUCGGAACGUGCCCAGUCGUGGGGGAUAACGCAGCGAAAGCUGUGCUAAUACCGCAUACGAUCUACGGAUGAAAGCGGGGGAUCGCAAGACCUCGCGCGAUUGGAGCGGCCGAUAUCAGGUUAGCUAGUUGGUGGGGUAAAGGCUUACCAAGCCGACGAUCUGUAGCUGGUCUGAGAGGACUACCAGCCACAAGGGGACUGAGACACGGCCCAGACUCCUACGGGAGGCAGCAGUGGGGAAUUUUGGACAAUGGGCGAAAGCCUGAUCCAGCCAUGCCGCGUGCAGGAUGAAGGCCUUCGGGUUGUAAACUGCUUUUGUACGGAACGAAAAGGUUUGGCCUAAUAAGCUGAGCUCAAGACGGUACCGUAAGAAUAAGCACCGGCUAACUACGUGCCAGCAGCCGCAGUAA